UACGGAAGGCAGCAGUGAGGAAUAUUGCACAAUGGGCGCAAGCCUGAUGCAGCCAUGCCGCGUGUAUGAAGAAGGCCUUCGGGUUGUAAAGUACUUUCAGUCGUGAGGAAGGUGUUAAGGUUAAUAACCUUAGCAAUUGACGUUAGCGACAGAAGAAGCACCGGCUAACUCCGUGCCAGCAGCCGCGGUAAUACGGAGGGUGCGAGCGUUAAUCGGAAUUACUGGGCGUAAAGGGCACGCAGGCGGUUAAUUAAGUUGGAUGUGAAAUCCCCGGGCUUAACCUGGGAAUGGCAUUCAAGACUGGUUAGCUAGAGUCUUGUAGAGGGGGUAGAAUUCCAUGUGUAGCGGUGAAAUGCGUAGAGAUGUGGAGGAAUACCGGUGGCGAAGGCGGCCCCUGGACAAGACUGACGCUCAUGUGCGAAAGCGUGGGGAGCAAACAGGAUUAGAUACC
RNAcentral lists this ribosomal RNA (451 nucleotides) under uncultured bacterium. RNAcentral's name for it is "bacterial SSU rRNA". It matches the Rfam family "Bacterial small subunit ribosomal RNA", at positions 340 to 786 of the family's 1533-position model. The record is from RNAcentral.